This 253-nucleotide ribosomal RNA is filed under the name uncultured bacterium. RNAcentral describes it as "partial 16S ribosomal RNA". It matches the Rfam family "Bacterial small subunit ribosomal RNA", at positions 524 to 776 of the family's 1533-position model. The record is from RNAcentral.
UACGUAGGGGGCAAGCGUUGUCCGGAUUCAUUGGGCGUAAAGAGCGUGUAGGCGGCCAGGUAGGUCGGUUGUGAAAACUGGAGGCUCAACCUUCAGACGUCGGCCGAAACCAUCUGGCUAGAGUCCGGGAGAGGAGAGUGGAAUUCCUGGUGUAGCGGUGAAAUGCGCAGAUAUCAGGAAGAACACCCGUGGCGAAAGCGGCUCUCUGGAACGGUACUGACGCUGAGACGCGAAAGCGUGGGGAGCGAACAGG